GUAGGUGGCAAGCGUUGUCCGGAAUUAUUGGGCGUAAAGCGCGCGCAGGCGGUUCUUUAAGUCUGAUGUGAAAGCCCACGGCUCAACCGUGGAGGGUCAUUGGAAACUGGAGAACUUGAGUACAGAAGAGGAAAGUGGAAUUCCACGUGUAGCGGUGAAAUGCGUAGAGAUGUGGAGGAACACCAGUGGCGAAGGCGGCUUUCUGGUCUGUAACUGACGCUGAGGCGCGAAAGCGUGGGGAGCAAACAGGAUUAGAUACCCUGGUAGUCCACGCCGUAAACGAUGAGUGCUAAGUGUUAGGGGGUUUCCGCCCCCCUUAGUGCUGCAGCUAACGCAUUAAGCACUCCGCCUGGGAGUACGGCCGCAAGGCUG
This 372-nucleotide ribosomal RNA is filed under the name uncultured organism. RNAcentral describes it as "partial 16S ribosomal RNA". It matches the Rfam family "Bacterial small subunit ribosomal RNA", at positions 527 to 896 of the family's 1533-position model. The record is from RNAcentral.